GUGUGUGUGUGUGUGUGUGUGUUUGUGUGUGUGUGUGGUGUGUGUGUGUGUGUGUAAAUUUCUGUGCAUGUGUGUAAACUACUAAACACAUUCAAAAUAAUGGAUUUGAUGAAUAUUGUUUUCUCACAAGGCCACACCAGUGUACCGCUAGCGCUUAUAUUAUCAACUGUGAAAAGGUAAAUGCAAAGGUCAGUCCCGUUAGUAUGUGAACCCAGAAUAUUAACGGACUUAAAUAAAUGUCCCUACCAGUUAUGGUAGCACUAUCAUUUCUGCCAAUGCAGAACUCUUGUCUUAAUAAAUAUUAAGAUGUUUAAAUACCUGAAAUGCUCCAUUACAAAGAAAGUGGUAUUUACAAGUUAAAAAAAA
Octopus sinensis (East Asian common octopus) is the source of this 366-nucleotide long non-coding RNA. RefSeq lists it as uncharacterized. NCBI's taxonomy places the organism in Eukaryota, Metazoa, Mollusca, Cephalopoda, Octopoda, Octopodidae. The transcript is spliced from 3 exons. The record is from RefSeq and is a predicted model, not a curated record.